UGCCUAUCCUAUCAGAUCUAUUUAAUACCAGGAAGUAAAGGACUCAUAGUUCUCCGAUGCUUGUUCUGAGAGACCGGCUCACAGUCCAUUAUCCCAGGAACAUUUCCUUUCCUCUCUUUCUCCAACAUCUUAUGUCCCCCACCUCUACUUCCCUUCUGGUUAAGGAAUGGUCGUAUGAUCCUGUACUGCCCAAUCCAGUAGCCACUAGACACAUGUGGCUAUGUAAGUUUAGAUGAAAUAAAAUUUAAAUACUCAGUUUCAUUUCUAGUGUUCCAUAGUAUUCCACGUGGCUAGUGGCUACCAUAUUGGAAAGUACAGAUAUGGAAAUUUUCUGUUUGUUCACAAAGUUCCAUCAGACAGCCCUAUUCCAGCCCAUCUUGUGUUCUUGGUAGGAAUAGAACUUCUAGGUUGAAUACAAGAUGGGGAAGUUGCUUUUACCAGAUACAAGCAACUGAACUAGCCCCUGAACUCUCUGCAAGCUUCUUCGGUGCUAGCUGGAGGACUACUGCUCGACAAGUCUGCCAGGGUUAUACCACAGCCAUUUCAAGUUCAGUUCAAGUCGACUUUGAGAAGUGUAUGCUAAAAUACUCUUUACAAGCUAGAGCUUACAGGAAAGAGAAUAGGAGAGAUGGUCUCCUUGUUUCAUUGAUUAUCGCCCAGCACCAGUGGAGGAUUACGUUCUCUGAACCGUGUCCAGAGAAACAGGAUAAGGAAAGGAUGGGGAGGUGCAUUACCCAUGCUGGCUGAAGGAAGUCUAAGUUUUCAAUAUGGGAAAAAGAAGAGUUAAAGGUACAAGCUAUGUGUCUUAAGGGAACAGAUUAGUCAUCACAAUGAUGGGCCAGAUGUGUUCUGGGGACCACCCAACAGACUUGGGAGUGAGGACUUCAGUCGUCCAAAAACAGAUUUUUCUGACUAAUAUGAGGAAGGACUUCUGUAGUGGCUACAAUGACCUGAAAUGAAGUGAAACUCCUCAGGAAUGUUUUAGCUUCUCAAGAACACUUCAGUUGGGAUGGACAGUCUAUUGACUACAGUCAGACAAAUUCCUAUAAAGAGUAAACACCCUAAUAUCAUCUCCAGAUCUGCGGUCCAGGGGUCUAUAUCUUCUGGAAAAAUGCUCACUGUGUCUAAUUACUACACUUCACCACGCCUCUGAAAUGUUAGGUUUUCUCCAAUGCAGCUCAAAACCUGAAAGCAUAAAGACUGUCUUUCUAACACAUAGAAUCCCAAGAACUCAGUGAGCUCAGGCAAUAACUGUCAUAAAGGGCCAUCAUUUUGGAGAAUUUGUAUUAGUGACUGUAGUUUCUUCUUAAAUCAUCAGAAAUAAAUGAAGGGAAGGGAAGAGGGAGAACAAAGGGGAAGAAGAGAAUGGGAAAAAGAGACAAAACACCCUUCUUUUACACUCACAGAAAGGAAGGAAAAUAAACACAGAAUGUAACACUGACACCAAAAGCUUUUUAUGAUGGGAUAUUCAAACAAUGUGCUGGCUUCAAACACUUUGGUUACUUCCAAAACUCAGAAUACAGUUCAAAGGCCGUAAAAUGCAUGAUGCUGUCUGGUCUUUGGUGACCUGCUCCCAUUUCUCUCUCCCAAGCCCCACUCUGCACAGUAAGGAAGCUCUGGGUUACUGACUGUUUUGGUUUCUGGAACGUGCCUGGGCCUGUUCAGGACUUGGAACACAAUGCCUCUGCCUGGAACAAGUUGCCCACACCGGCUCUGCACCCUAACCAUCCCCACCUGUAGGGUUACAGCUUAAACUUUUCUUAACAAAAGAAAUGCACUAUGAUUCCACCUCCUACCCAUGGACUGGGCCUGGUACCUCUCUGGUGAACAGUUACGGCUUUGGACAUUUUCUGGAUAGGGCCAGACUAGACAUAAGCUCAUGUGUCAUUGCCCCAGACUGAAACAACCCAAUGUGUGUCAACCUAUUACUAGGUAAACCACUGUGGUAGAGCCAUAAGCUGGGAUACAACUCAGCAACUUAAAAAAAAAAAAAAUUAAACUAUUUACAUAUGCAACCACCUUGAUGAAUCUCAAGUAUAUUUUUUAAAAGGAACAGAUGAUCUAUCUAUCUAAUGAUUCUUUUUAUAUAAAAGCCAAAUGCAGAUGACACUAAUGUGAUACAAAUCGGAGUCUGAGGUCAUAUGAUGAAAAUGUUCGGAAAGGGCUCAUGAGGGAGCUUUCUGGGGGAAAUAAAACCGACCUUUAUCUUAUUUUAGUUAACACGAAUGUAUGCAAUUGUCAAAAUUCAUCUAAUUGGACACUUGAGAGAAACAAAGAUUUAGUAUUGAUUUCUACUAUAUUUGUCUUUUGUCUUUGGGUAUCUCUCAUCCCAGUAAUGUAUUUGGCCUCAGUGGAGGCAUCUAGAAGUCACCUAGAGCUCUAGGCUUUGCAAGUACCUCUUCUCCUCUGUGCAUACUUCUAACUGCCCAGCUUGUCGGGACUUCCGGUGGUAGCUCUUGUACUGUUAACUUCUACCAGGUUCCUACGCUGAUCUACACGGCUAUGGACUGAAAGUUUGUGUCCUCCAAAAUUCAUAUGUUGAAGCCUCACCCUCAGUGUGAUGGUAUCAGUCUUGAGCUUCCAAGCUCCAGAAUCAUGAGAGGUGUUGGUUGUUGGAGACAUCAGUCUGUGGUGAUUGUUCCAGCAGUCUGCAUGGACUGAGACACACACUGUAUCCAAAUAGUGCUCUAGUUGCCAGCGGACCAACCAGCUUUAUUGUCACCAUACUUUUGGGGGACACAGUGAAUUCUAGUGCUUUUUAAGGAAAUAAUUCUGCUUCCUGUUGGUCUACAUUUGGGAAAUAAUUUGGCCAUUAUUAUUCUCAGGUAGCCUCUCUGUAUUGCUCUCCAUCUCUUUUAUCUGAGCUUCUCUGCAGGCUCUCGUGAAGUCCUUAUUCUCUGCAAGGACGUUCACUGAGUACAGAUGACCUGUCUCUUCUAGCCUAGAUGGGGCUAAAUACAGACAUGGAAGGAAGGGGGAAGGAAGGAAGGUGAUAAGUAGAAAGACAUAUAAAUAGAUGGAUAGACAGAUAGGUAAAUAGAUAGAUAGGCCCAAAACCUCCAGUUCUUGAUACAAACUUCUCCCCAUUCCUCAUAAGCUAACGGUGCCAAGGAAGAAUGCUUGAUACUGCCUAAUUUCCCAAAACAUGAUAAGAAAAUAAGAUAGAAUAAACAAAUACUAGCGAUAAGCCCAGCUCCUACAGGCAACACAGAAUCCUCGCCAUUUUAAGCCAAAUCAAUGGUAAAGCUUAAGUGACCAUUUAAAAAUCUCCACACACACAGAUUUUUAGAGGAAGGCUCUGCCCCAUUAUGUUGCUCAGCCCAUUGCCAGACACUUACGAAGUGGAUAUACCUCCUGCAAAGAAGCUCCCACAAUCAUAUUUAAAGAAAGAAUGAAGCAGGAAUGCAUAUCAGGAAUUUGGAAGCCUGUGUGUAACAAUGAUGUUGUAUCUUUGCAGAUUCUUAAUGUAAAUGUGUCAGGGGCUCAACCCCUACAUGUUGAAGGGCCUCAAAGAGAGACAUAUAUCAGGUUAAGUGAGAUAUACAGCCACAGCUCUGUUGCCUGCGGGUCAUGGAAAUCUAACUCAAGCAAGCUUAGAUGGAAAGAGACAAGAAACAUGAGCAUAUGUCACUGGCAUACCCGGGAAACUCAGUGUCUCAGGACGCAGAAGAUCCGGAACAGGAAAUGCUUCUGUCUUACUCUCAGUCUGAAUGCGGUCUUCAUAGGAUGUCACAGAUGACCACCGCCAAGACGACUCUUCAUUCUUCUCACAGUUAGAAACUCCAGUAAGAGUAUGUUCUGUGUCCCCUUCAUUCAGCUGUAGUCGCAGGACUCUCCCUGAAUGGCCCACGGGAGGGAGGCAUGCACUCAUCUGGGGAGCAGGAGACCAGUGUGAGGGCAGAGAACUCCAACUUUUAGGACCAAGGUGCUUCCCGCCUGAUCUGGAGGUCAGCUUCAGCAAAACGCACAGACUAACAACAAACAAAGCCCAGAACUGCUAGAGAAGCUUGCAUGUGGGCUAUCAUACCCCCUUGUGUUUACCAUGGGAAAAGGUCAGCACACCUUUUGCUAAUUUCAAAAGCAGCAGCAGUGAGAAAACAUAAACACGGAAGCUGAGGAAACUCCCACACCAUCGCCAUGCCCCAGAGCUUGGUCUCAGUCUCUUCGGAGGCAGGACAGAGGAGACAGAUGCUUGAACUUUUCAAAUGCUGUAACAUAUUGAGCUCAAAGUUAAUGGCAUUAUUACUUUCUUUUCUGGUAUCAGCGUCUUGGACGGGGCUUGGGAGGUAGCAUGAGGGAGGUGAGAACAGGGCUACCCCAGUGACCUCUGGGCCGUAGGCUCUUUCAUUAAAACUCUGCACAUUCAAGAUCAUCUGACAAAGCAACUUCAGAGCCAGACAGAGGUAGUCACAGAUUUGAGUGAGCCACUGCGAAGCCCUGUGAUUUCAGGGAAGCCACAUCAUCUCAUUUUCCUGUUCCCCAUCUGUAGGACCGUGCAAACAUUUGAUUAUGAUGGACAUGUGACCAGCACAUUCUAAGCACUGCAGAACUACGUUUCUUUCCAUGCCUUUAUUUUAAUCCCUGCUGCUAGUGAGAUACUCUAGGCACUAAGAAAUUUGAAGAGAUAUAUAAUUACAGAAAGGC
Molecule: long non-coding RNA, 4644 nt
Organism: Lutra lutra (Eurasian river otter)
Lineage: Eukaryota; Metazoa; Chordata; Mammalia; Carnivora; Mustelidae
Exons: 3
Source: RefSeq, a predicted model, not a curated record